This is a long non-coding RNA of Oncorhynchus tshawytscha (Chinook salmon), 1722 nucleotides long. NCBI's taxonomy places the organism in Eukaryota, Metazoa, Chordata, Actinopteri, Salmoniformes, Salmonidae. The record is from Ensembl.
GUAAAUUGUGUUCUAGAAUAGGAUGUGACCUACGGGAUAAUUACCUGAUAAAAAAAAAAAAUUUAGCUAAUAAACAGAACAAAUGAGAAACUGUUUGUUAACCAAACCUGUAUGUCCAAGAUUUUAUGCACUACAGGUGAACUACAGGUGAAGUCACUCAAUCCAGUCCCAUAGACUUGUUGGGGGGACCAUACCAAGGACUCCUGGUGACAGCUAGCUGAAAGAGCUACCCGGAUUCAUAUCGCACUGCGGGAGGGUAAGGCACACUGACACUGUCGAACAAUAACAGAGUUCGAGAGGAGAACUGGAAUUAACAGAAUUCUGGGGGCCAUCUCUCGAAUGAAAAAUACCUUACCUGUCCUUUCCUCACUGUUGUUGUUCAUAGAAGUGAAGAUGUGUCUGGCUCUUGCUAAGUGAUGUGUUCUCGGGGAGAGGGUGGGGCUUCACAUGGAAGCUGUUCGUCUGAGCUGUCUUAUCGUGGGUGACAUAUUCCUGAUACAGCACGUCCUACUCGAGUAUGCGGAGAGUGGGAAUUUGACCCAUGGUUUAGACGAUGAGGAUUUUGUUCCAAAAUAAGCAUAAGAGAUCCCUAGAUCUGGGUAGACAGGAAGUUAGAGUAGAGGUUGGGAAGGAUCUCUCAAUGGAGUUUUAAGUAGACCAAAAUGGAGUCUCUAACUACAUGACAGUCUAGGACUCUGAGCCAUUAUGGCAUAUAUCGGUGCAGGUUCCCAUAUUGAUCGUGGACACAGGUCAUAGCUCAUUGGGAGAGAGGGCUAUAUGAAUCCACUCACCCAGUAUGGAAGAAGAGAGGGAUGAAUUGCAUAAAGAUACGCUUAACCCUUUAAAUAGAAAUGAAGGAGGAUCUAGGGUUGUGGUAUGGAUAUGACCAAGUCUUGGUCGACACCCUAGUACGGCUCUGGGUAGAGGAGUUUGGGCCGGUAUGGUAAAGCUGUUCACGAAAGCAGGAAUGCCAGAUAAUGACAGUUGUAUUGAUUUGCACUAUUUAAAUCCCCAGGUUCCUCCCUUUACAGUGACCGGAGGAGAUUAUUACCGUUUGGCCCGGUACAGUACUCUUGGGAAAUGAUGUCAGGGCGAGGUUUUACCAACAGAUUGGACAGGAUUAUGCUCCAUUGUAAUGCCUCUGACACUCAUUCAACACCAAGACAUGAAGUAUAGCCAAAUGGGAGAAAAGAGCUACUCCAUCCGGGUCUCUUAUUGACUAAGUACACAUUGAUAACAUUGGGGUUCCAAGGGAGGUGCCAGAUGAGUCAAAGCAAGAAAUCAGAUCCUAGCAGGAUUAGAGUUAAGCAUUUCCGGGGCUCUACUCUCAUAAGAACGUGGACUGGAUUAAUUAUAUUUAUGAUAAUCAACAGCGCUUUAACAGGUAUACCAGAGAUGUUAUUAAAGGUUUUGUAGAACAGACUGAAGCAACCAGCUGGAAGGUUUGGCAGAAUAGAAUUGCAUUAGAUAUGUUAAUGGCUGAAAAGGGAGAAGUAUGCGUGAUAAUCAGGACCAUGUUUGUACUUACAUCCCAAAUAACACAGCUCCGGACGAAUCAGUGCCCGAAGCCUCAGCUGGUUUGACCACCCUGGCUCACGGGUUGGCAGAAACUCUGGGGUGGAUACUUCUCUGACUGAUUGGGUUUUGAUAAUCCGUUUGGAAAAUGGAAAAAUGUUAUGAUCACUGUGUUAUGGGCUACAUUCACCUGUGUGACUGUGUUAG